RNAcentral lists this ribosomal RNA (497 nucleotides) under uncultured bacterium. RNAcentral describes it as "partial 16S ribosomal RNA". It matches the Rfam family "Bacterial small subunit ribosomal RNA", at positions 28 to 507 of the family's 1533-position model. The record is from RNAcentral.
GACGAACGCUGGCGGCGUGCCUAAUACAUGCAAGUAGAACGCUGAAGAGAGGAGCUUGCUCUUCUUGGAUGAGUUGCGAACGGGUGAGUAACGCGUAGGUAACCUGCCUUGUAGCGGGGGAUAACUAUUGGAAACGAUAGCUAAUACCGCAUAACAAUGGAUGACACAUGUCAUUUAUUUGAAAGGGGCAAUUGCUCCACUACAAGAUGGACCUGCGUUGUAUUAGCUAGUAGGUGAGGUAAUGGCUCACCUAGGCGACGAUACAUAGCCGACCUGAGAGGGUGAUCGGCCACACUGGGACUGAGACACGGCCCAGACUCCUACGGGAGGCAGCAGUAGGGAAUCUUCGGCAAUGGGGGCAACCCUGACCGAGCAACGCCGCGUGAGUGAAGAAGGUUUUCGGAUCGUAAAGUUCGGUUGUAAGUCAAGAACGGGUGUGAGAGUGGAAAGUUCACACUGUGACGGUAGCUGACCAGAAAGGGACGGCUAACUACGUG